UCCUUCACCACAACCACGGCAACGGGAGAGGCUUAUCUCUCACCACGACAGACUUGAGGGGUUCUCUGCCAACUGAUCUCUCACCGCAACGUGUAGACGGAUCUCUACGUGGAGACUGAUCUCUCACCACAACACGAGCUUCCUGCCUUCCGAUCCUCCUCUACGGACCGUUUGCUGACGGACUUCCCUGGGCCUGCUACCUGAGACCUGCUGCUUCCUCCCCGACCUGCAUCCUCUCGCUGCCCCAGACCGGCCUCGCUGCUCCUGCCCUUCGGCCUCGGACCGUCGGAACAUCGUGCAAUGGGACUGCUGCCGGAUCCUGAUGGGUCUCAUGAUCUUGCAUUUGAUGUCUGUGGUCUGAUGUGAAUCUAUCACCCUUUAAACUGCUGAUGCCUUGAGGAAUUGUUCUUGAAUACUGGUGGCGUUCUCUUCAGGUGCUUCCACUGAUGUCUGGAAUCAUUUAAUAGAAUCAGUAGGAAAUCCCUUAGGGAAGGGAGAGUCUGACUAUAAGACUUAACUGGCGAUACAAGCUUAUCUCCAUUCAUGCUUGACAGAUGUGAACUCUAUUCUAAAAUUCAGUGACUGCAUAGAAAAUAGUAAGCAGUAAUUUUGCUGCUUCUCUUGUACUUAAGUGGUCUUGAAAUGCCUGGAAUAUGGGUGAUCCUUGCACAAAACGUUCUUCGGGCCCAUGACAUAUAACAGUGUAAGUACUGAUUUGAAGCAUGGAUUUAACUUGAAUUAUUUCGCAUAGAUACAUAAUACUACUGUAUUUCAAAGUAAGUAUUUUUCUGGCCUAGCAGAUACUUAUAGCAAAGAAAAUUGAAUAGCAUGAACGGAAACACUGGGAGUGAGCUGUUGCAGAAAAUCUUCUGAGGCACUGCUUAGGGUUUUCUUCUUAUAAGACAGGACUGGAUUUCAGAUAUGGGAGGGGUAGGUAUGUGGCGGUAUUGUCCUCAGUCUGAGCAGUGCAAUGCUACUGCAGGUUAUUGAUAGGUUUGAUUUUCUUCCCCCCCAAGAAUGCUAUUUAAAAAUAUAAAGGCAAAAACAAGCAAACAAACAAACAAACAAAAACUCUCACUUCUACAAUCAGUUCUGGCUGUUUUGAGUUUGUAAAUUAUCUUCUGCAAACAUCAAAUAUCUCUGCUAAAGAAUUUGUGUGAUGGAGGUUUCAAGGCAAGGACAAAGUACAGCUUGAACCAGUAUAACAAGGGCAAGCAUGAAUUGAAGAAAUGCAUGAUACCUACCCCAUUUACUGUUCCCCAGCCAUGUGUAGGGAGUGUGUACUUGCCUGUCCUACCAGGGGUGAUUGUUCCACGAUAACUGUUCUCAAGCCACGAUGUGGAAGUCUGGAAGUACCUGAUUUACCUAAAUGCUUUGUUUCCUUGAAUAUCCUGGUUGUGAAAUAGAUGAAGAACAAUGUAAAUAUGUAAUAUUAAAAGGAUAUUAAGAGGAGGACAAGAAAGCGGGUAGAAGCAUUGGAAGGCAUAUCAUAUGAGGAGAGGCAAAGGACACUUUGUUUAUCUAGCCUGGAGAAAAGAGGGCUGAGAAGUAACCUCCUUACUCUCUACAACUUCUAGAGGAGUGGAAAAAGAGAGAGGGAGAUGCUAGUCUCUUCUCUCUUGUCACCAGCGACAGGAUAUAUGGGAAUGGAACAAAGCUGCACCAGGCAAAAUUCAAACUGGAUAUUAGGAAAAAAAUUUUUUGCUAUCUUCAAUUUCUAUCUGACAGAAAAUAUUCUGAAUAUCUCAAUGGGAAAGAAAGAGGAAAAGUGUUCACAAGUGAUGAGGUGAUUAGGAUAAUUACUAAGAACACCAAUUUUCAAAUCCCCGUUCUAAAUCUAUCUGAAAGAAGCAGGAUUUAAACUUUAAUUUCUUACACCCAACACAAAUAGCACAACCAAAUUUACCAUCUGAGAUUUGCAGUUUCUAACGUGCUAUAUACAUCUGUUUAUGCUGUUCUUCAUCAAGCACCAUGACUGUAAAAUAACUGCUCCAAAAUUAAUGCAAUACUGCAAUUAUUUUUAGGUUAGUUGUCUUUUUCUUGAAGGCAAAACAAGAGAAGACAGUCCUAUUGAGUUAAAUGUCUCAAGCAUUUAUAUUCUAACAUAGCGAAAUCUGAGAAAAGAAGGUUUAUGAACUAUGGUGCUCGCAAUCCUUGGUUCUACUACAGGAUGUCAGCGUACGCUUCAGUUCACAAACAAGCACAGUAGAAACUGUAACAUGGCUCUUUCUGAUUUCUUCCAAUGUAGGCUGAAUAUUAAUGUCAUCAUACAAUCAAAGAAGCUAAAAUAGUUGUUCUGAAAAACCUCAGAAACAUGUUACAGUGUUAGCUUGUUGGUGUUAAAUAUAAAACUCACUGUUCAUUUGUUUGCCCACUAUCAUAAAUUGAAUCUCUUUUCUCCAACGAGGAAGAAAAUAAAAUAAAAAUGACAAGAAGAGAAUUAAUCUAUUGUCUGACAUUUUUUAGAAGUUUGAAAAAAUAUUAAAACAUCAUUCUCUUUUUUUUCUACGGUGAAAUAAUUUGAGGAGGCUUAGAAAACAAUUCACACUUUUUUGUUUGUUGGUAGGAUGUCUUUUUGAUUGAAGUUGCUUUCUAUUUUCUACCUGUCUCUUUAGUGGUAGUUCCAUAAGUUGUGAACUGCAUUUGUACUUGUAGAGAGUAUUUUGCAAGUUGGCAUUUGCUACCUAUUGAAGAUUUGAGAAUGCAUGAGACUGUCUCAUCACUGGACAGCAGGUUUUUUUGUUUUGUUUUGUUUUGUUUUUUGACCAUUCAUGCUUCUGUGUAAGGAAAACUGCAAAACUAAGACAAAAUAAACAACCAUAAAUUUACCGUGUUCCUACUAGCAGAUGUGUUACAUAUGUAUGUCGGGAAAUUGAACCAAUAUGCUGGUGUUCUACUAUGCAGUGAACUAAUGGAACUAAUGAACUGAUGAUAAGCUGAAGCACAAGGCCAUGAUGUAGAACAUUUGAAUGAGAGUUUACACAUUUUUUUUCCAAAAUGGAACAUCAGAUAAGCUCUCAAACUAUAAAUAGAUAAAAUGUUAUUUCUGUCACUAAUGACUCAUGUAAUAAAUGCCUUUUUG
Molecule: long non-coding RNA, 3082 nt
Filed under: Gallus gallus (chicken)
Lineage: Eukaryota; Metazoa; Chordata; Aves; Galliformes; Phasianidae
Description: lncRNA (ENSGALG00010001989.1)
Source: RNAcentral